GACGAACGCUGGCGGCGUGCUUAACACAUGCAAGUCGAACGGAAAGGCCCUGCUUUUGUGGAGUGCUCGAGUGGCGAACGGGUGAGUAACACGUGAGUAACCUGCCCUUGACUUUGGGAUAACUUCAGGAAACUGGGGCUAAUACCGGAUAGGAGCUCCUGCUGCAUGGUGGGGGUUGGAAAGUUUCGGCGGUUGGGGAUGGACUCGCGGCUUAUCAGCUUGUUGGUGGGGUAGUGGCUUACCAAGGCUUUGACGGGUAGCCGGCCUGAGAGGGUGACCGACCACAUUGGGACUGAGAUACGGCCCAGACUCCUACGGGAGGCAGCAGUGGGGAAUAUUGCACGAUGGGCGGAAGCCUGAUGCAGCACCGCCGCGUGCGGGAUGACGGCCUUCGGGUUGUAAACCGCUUUCGCCUGUGACGAAGCGUGAGUGACGGUAAUGGGUAAAGAAGCACCGGCUAACUACGUG
Molecule: ribosomal RNA, 468 nt
Filed under: uncultured bacterium
Lineage: Bacteria
Description: partial 16S ribosomal RNA
Rfam family: Bacterial small subunit ribosomal RNA
Source: RNAcentral